This 272-nucleotide non-coding RNA is filed under the name candidate division TM6 bacterium Zodletone_IIa. RNAcentral's name for it is "Bacterial small subunit ribosomal RNA". It matches the Rfam family "Bacterial small subunit ribosomal RNA", at positions 689 to 847 of the family's 1533-position model. The record is from Rfam by way of RNAcentral.
CGCCAAGCUCAGAAUUAACCCUCACUAAAGGGACUAGUCCUGCAGGUUUAAACGAAUUCGCCCUUGGUUACCUUGUUACGACUUCACCCCGAUUACCAACCACACCGUAGGCAUCUGCCUCCACUAUCAAUAGCGGUUAGCUCAACGACUUCCUGGCCCUAUACUGACGCUGAGACGCGAGAGCGUGGGUAGCAAACAGGAUUAGAUACCCUGGUAGUCCACGCCGUAAACGAUGUUCACUAGGUGUUGGGGGUAUUGACCCCCUCAGUGCC